CCUACGGGUGGCAGCAGUGGGGAAUAUUUCACAAUGGGGGAAACCCUGAUGCAGCGACGCCGCGUGAGUGAAGAAGUAUUUCGGUAUGUAAAGCUCUAUCAGCAGGGAAGAAAGAAAUGACGGUACCUGACUAAGAAGCCCCGGCUAACUACGUGCCAGCUGCCGCGGGAAUACGUAGGGGGCAAGCGUUAUCCGGAUUUACUGGGUGUAAAGGUAGCGUAGACGGCGAUGCAAGUCUGAAGUGAAAGGCGGGGGCCCAACCCCCGGACUGCUUUGGAAACUGUAUGGCUGGAGUGCAGGAGAGGUAAGUGGAAUUCCUAGUGUAGCGGUGAAAUGCGUAGAUAUUAGGAGGAACACCAGUGGCGAAGGCGGCUUACUGGACUGUAACUGACGUUGAGGCUCGAAAGCGUGGGGAGCAAACAGGAUUAGAUACCCUGGUAGUC
Molecule: ribosomal RNA, 443 nt
Filed under: uncultured bacterium
Lineage: Bacteria
Description: partial 16S ribosomal RNA
Rfam family: Bacterial small subunit ribosomal RNA
Source: RNAcentral